This 488-nucleotide small RNA is filed under the name Arabidopsis thaliana (thale cress). RNAcentral's name for it is "putative long intergenic non-coding RNA". The record is from RNAcentral. Lineage: Eukaryota; Viridiplantae; Streptophyta; Magnoliopsida; Brassicales; Brassicaceae.
GUAUAUCGUUACUCUUGAAAAUAUUUCACAAAUCAUUUUUUUUUUUCCAUAAACGUAACUACAAAUUUCAGAAGAUAUGAGAAGUUUGAUGUUCCAAUGGCCUACACUUAGAGCAACAAUGAUUGAUGUUGCAAUAGCUUGGUCUGCAAGUUUUUACCGCUACCAUUUGUUCUUGACUUCUUUCAUGGGUUUUGGUUAGUAUAUGCAGGGAUUUGUUCUUUGGUUGGUUUACAAGAGGGAACUUUACUAUGAAAAAGGUAAGAAAUAUGGGCAAUCACCGACUCUUGAUAUCUAUCAAAUUCGUUUUCCUUAUCAUUCAUUGUGGUUUUGUUUUCUUUUCUUGUGUUGUAUUGAGGGCACUAAAUCUUUUAAAGGUAAGAAAUCGAGUUUAGAUUUGACAAUACUUGUCUAUUUUUUAUUUCUAUUAGAAUUCAAUCAUCACUCUGAUUUUGGUUCUACUUUCUUUGUUCGUCAAGGAAAACAUGAAU